RNAcentral lists this ribosomal RNA (152 nucleotides) under uncultured eukaryote. RNAcentral describes it as "partial small subunit ribosomal RNA". It matches the Rfam family "Eukaryotic small subunit ribosomal RNA", at positions 1651 to 1802 of the family's 1831-position model. The record is from RNAcentral.
CCCUGCCAUUUGUACACACCGCCCGUCGCUACUACCGAUUGAAUGGAUUAGUGAGCUUUAAGGAGUAAAUAAUUUUUUGGCUUGCCAAUUUAUUAUUUAUGAAUUAAAUCAAACUUGCUCAUUUAGAGGAAGUAAAAGUCGUAACAAGGUUU